This 945-nucleotide ribosomal RNA is filed under the name uncultured bacterium. RNAcentral describes it as "bacterial SSU rRNA". It matches the Rfam family "Bacterial small subunit ribosomal RNA", at positions 80 to 1062 of the family's 1533-position model. The record is from RNAcentral.
CAGUAGCAAUACUGAGUGGCAGACGGGUGAGUAACAUGUGGGAAUCUGCCUUGUGGUUCAGGACAACAUUGGGAAACCGAUGCUAAUACUGGAUAAGCCCUUACGGGGAAAGUUUUAAUGCCAUAAGAUGAGCCCGCAUUUGAUUAGUUAGUUGGUGAGGUAAUGGCUCACCAAGACAAUGAUCAAUAGCUGAUCUGAGAGGAUGAUCAGCCACACUGGGACUGAGACACGGCCCAGACUCCUACGGGAGGCAGCAGUGGGGAAUCUUGCACAAUGGAGGAAACUCUGAUGCAGCGAUGCCGCGUGAGUGAAGAAGGCCUUUGGGUUGUAAAGCUCUUUUGUAGGGGAAGAUAAUGACUGUACCCUAAGAAUAAGGUCCGGCUAACUUCGUGCCAGCAGCCGCGGUAAUACGAAGGGACCUAGCGUAGUUCGGAAUUACUGGGCGUAAAGCGCGCGUAGGCCGUUGAGUUAGUUAAUUGUGAAAUCCCAAAGCUUAACUUUGGAACUGCAAUUAAAACUGCUCGACUAGAGUUUGAUAGAGGAAAGCGGAAUACAUAGUGUAGAGGUGAAAUUCGUAGAUAUUAUGUAGAACACCAGUUGCGAAGGCGGCUUUCUGGAUCAACACUGACGCUGAGGCGCGAAAGUAUGGGUAGCAAAGAGGAUUAGAUACCCUCGUAGUCCAUACCAUAAACGAUGAUUGCUAGAUGUUGGAAAUUUAUUUUCAGUAUCGCAGCUAACGCAUUAAGCAAUCCGCCUGGGGAGUACGACCGCAAGGUUAAAACUCAAAUGAAUUGACGGGGACCCGCACAAGCGGUGGAGCAUGUGGUUUAAUUCGAAGAUACGCGCAGAACCUUACCAACCCUUGACAUGUCUGUCGCGAGUUUAGGAACUAGACUUUUCGGUCGGCCGGACAGAACACAGUGCUGCAUGGCUGUCGUCAGCUCG